This 454-nucleotide ribosomal RNA is filed under the name uncultured bacterium. Its description in RNAcentral is "partial 16S ribosomal RNA". It matches the Rfam family "Bacterial small subunit ribosomal RNA", at positions 28 to 507 of the family's 1533-position model. The record is from RNAcentral.
GAUGAACGCUGACAGAAUGCUUAACACAUGCAAGUCUACUUGAACUUCGGUUUGGGUGGCGGACGGGUGAGUAACGCGUAAAGAACUUGCCUCACAGUUAGGGACAACAUUUGGUAACGAAUGCUAAUACCUGAUAUUAUGAUUUUAGGGCAUCCUAGGAUUAUGAAAGCUAUAUGUGCUGUGAGAGAGCUUUGCGUCCCAUUAGCUAGUUGGAGAGGUAACGGCUCACCAAGGCGAUGAUGGGUAGCCGGCCUGAGAGGGUGAACGGCCACAAGGGGACUGAGACACGGCCCUUACUCCUACGGGAGGCGGCAGUGGGGAAUAUUGGACAAGGGACCAAAAGUGUGGUAGAGCAAUUCUGUGUGGAAGAUGACGUUUUUCGGAAUGAAAAGUGCUUGCAGUUGGGAAGAAAAAAAUGACGGUACCAACAGAAGAAGUGACGGCUAAAUACGUG